UAAAAAUUUAUUUAUUUUAGGUAGUAACAGAUUUCUUGAAACCUAAAGAAUUUGGCGGUAUUUUAAAUAAUUAGAGGAACUUGUUAUAUAAAUGAUAAUCCACAACAUAUCUUACCUUAAUUAAGUUUGUAUACCGUUGUUUUUAGAUUAUGUUUAUAGAUUAUAAUCAAAAUUAAUUAAUUUUAUAAAUCAAAUCAAGGUGCAGCAUAUUUAGGAUUUAAUGGGUUACAAUAUAUUUAUAUAUACGGAUAAAUUAUGAAAACAUUUUGGAAGGUGGAUUUAAAAGUAAUUUAAAAUUAAGAUGUUUAAAUGAAUAAAAAUUUAAAAUAUGC
This 332-nucleotide ribosomal RNA is filed under the name Brachistosternus intermedius. RNAcentral's name for it is "partial 12S small subunit ribosomal RNA". The record is from RNAcentral. Lineage: Eukaryota; Metazoa; Arthropoda; Arachnida; Scorpiones; Bothriuridae.